Long non-coding RNA from Aricia agestis (brown argus), 2251 nucleotides. RefSeq lists it as uncharacterized. The transcript has 3 exons. The record is from RefSeq and is a predicted model, not a curated record. NCBI's taxonomy places the organism in Eukaryota, Metazoa, Arthropoda, Insecta, Lepidoptera, Lycaenidae.
CGGGGGUCAGUGGAAUAUUCAAAUAUCUAACAUGUCACAGACGACUGACGAGACAAAUAAAUCCUCAGAAUACUUCUGUAACGGUGGGUUGACAACGAUUAUUACCAAUAGGUGGACCUUGCUGAGCAAGGUUUUGUGGAUUGGAUAAGGUAUUUGAGUAUUACAAGCAUAAUAAUCAUCACUGGAUCAAAAAUCAUAAUCCAGUGUCGUCUAUAGUGUAUAUGUUGUCAACUCAACGCGAGCGAACGAGCGAGUGUCUGUGCGCUUGGUUUGUGCCAUCCACCAUAGAUUUAAGACUAACACUUUAGUUACUCAUUUUACUGUUUGUCUAUAGUUUAUUCGCGUUAGAAAAUCAGUGGGGUAUCAGUAUUGAUCGGCAGUUAGACAAGUAAGUUUUUUAAAUUUGAUUGGCUUGUUCUGUAAAAGCGAAUGGUCUGACCCCGCGCUGCUUUCUAAACACGAGUUGACGGUUUAUGCUGAGGCCAAAUGUUCCGAACAUUUCCAACAUGAGAAGUGUUAUUUUCGUUUCAUAAUAGCGGAUAAUAAACAAAGCUUUUCAUGGCUACGCAUCCUACGAUCAAAUAAUAUGAUAUCAACAUUACUUAGCAAAGUUGUAAUCUGUGAUAAAACGAACACGCUUCUUAUAAUUAUUUAUUUUAAAGCUUGGUGUACCACUCGCCGACAGAUCUGGUAUACCUUUAGUAUGUUAACAACACAAGUAGUACUUCGCAUCGAUUAUGAUGUAAAAUUUAUGCCGUUCACAUAAACCAUUUGGCCUCAGGCGUUAGUGUAACUUAGAUAUCUCACAGAAUCUUGCCUGCCAACACUCUAAAGUGCCUUAGUGUAGAUAAAAUAGCUUCGCUUAUUCAUAUCAUUCGUUUAAUGCUAGUUCUUAAUAUAUAACGCUACUGGGCGACCGAAACACAUUUAGAGUAGUAAUAGUAUCAUUUUUCGUUCUUAUCAUGCAUUAGACGCAUGUUUUAUACUUAUGGAGGGUAGAAAUCAAUUAUUAUAAUUAUUAGAAUAUUUGAGGUGGUACAGCCAGUUGGUUUGUAUUAUCCAGAACACUUGUGUGAGUGUGUCUGAACAUCAUCAUGUUUCGUUAUGGCGCUAUGGUACCGACAUUUCGGUAUGUUUGAUUUCGCGACAAAGAACACAGCGUGUUACGUGGACCUUGUAGGCUGUUUGCACUAUCUCGCACGAUCUAAUCUUUAAUUUAGGAUAAUGUAUAAAAGUACUGCAUAUGUAAUAUGUAUGUUUAAGUUGAAAGGACAAUAUUGCUACAUAUCCCCAUUGUUUUAGUAAAAUAUAAGUGAUUUAUGUUAUGACCCCUAGGACCUACCGUCGUCGUUUGCCAGUAUAUUUAACUGUUACCAGUUGUAUAAAUAAAUUAAUGAAAUAUUAAAAUUCCGGUUUCUAUUAGAAUAAGGGCUUUUUCAUUGUAACGUAGAAACGUCGAAAACUAUGUAAGUUUUCGAAUUUUCAUAAUUCAAAGAGUAGCCGUAAACUCGCCACCUCCACACAAGUCUGACCAAGUCUGUGAAGGCAAUAUUUUUGUAAUCUUUCCCUCCAUCACAAUUAUUAAAUAACGUUUUAAGUAGAGUAAAAUCGUCCGCCUCUUGGACCAUCGUUUUGUACUUAAUAUGUCACAAUAAUUAUACUAAAACUUUCUAAAUAGUUGUGCUACGGCUUAGCGUCUAAGUAGGAAGCUGCUUUAUUUUCUGGAUCGUUAUAGGCACAAUGAAUGACGAUUAAUUACUGUAGAGCUUAUUUAUCAAUAGAUUCAGCAAAUAGUGUGCACUCUCACGGUUAUUUUGAGAUGAGCACUCGAUAUAAUUACAGUUUCAAUAGAAUAUAGACAUUUAAGAAGUUACAACGUUAUGUUAAUGUUACGAACUAGGCAACUUCAUACGGACGAGGCCCAGUUCUAUAAAAAUAUUUGUAGCUAUUGUAUAGCGAUGCUUUGUAAUAUCGGGCUUCUGGGAGGAGUGACACUGCAAAGUAUAUUAUUGCAAAUCUUGUGAUCAUUUGUAAUACGCGAGAACAAAAUAUUGUACUUAAUGAGCUGGGCUCAGUGCCAUACCCGAGUUAUGUAUUUUGCAGUGUGAGUCCAUAAAUUGAAUAAAUAUGUAUAAUAUUGUUUAUGUUUGAAAACGUGCACCCGUAGCUAAUUUGUUAAAAAUGUUUUAAGCAUCAGAUGAAGGUUUAAGGAUAGUGUCUCAGAUAUUAUAAUAUUACUAUUUACUACUAA